GUCUAUGGUAGAUCGGGCAGGGCAGCUUCACGGCUGGCCGUUGCUUCUGGUACGGUUUUCGACCCCUGUUCGGUCUACCACCAUU
This 85-nucleotide non-coding RNA is filed under the name Acinetobacter qingfengensis. The record is from RNAcentral. Lineage: Bacteria; Pseudomonadati; Pseudomonadota; Gammaproteobacteria; Moraxellales; Moraxellaceae.